This 119-nucleotide ribosomal RNA is filed under the name Arabidopsis thaliana (thale cress). Lineage: Eukaryota; Viridiplantae; Streptophyta; Magnoliopsida; Brassicales; Brassicaceae. The record is from RNAcentral.
GGAUGCUACCAUACCAGCACUAAUGCACCGGAUCCCAUCAGAACUCCGCAGUUAAGCGUGCUCGGGCAAGAUUAGUACUAGUAUGGGUGACCUCCCGGAAAGUCUUCGUGUUGCAUUCA